AUGUUCCGACCUGCACGAAUGGCGUAACGACUUCCCCGCUGUCUCCAACAUCGACUCAGCGAAAUUGAAUUGCCUGUCAAGAUGCAGGCUUCCCGCGGUUAGACGGAAAGACCCCGUGCACCUUUACUACAACUUCACACUGGCAUUAGGCCGAACAUGUGCAGGAUAGGUGGUGGGCUUUGAAGCGUGAACGCCAGUUUGCGUGGAGCCUCCCUUGAGAUACCACCCUUGCUCUGCUUGAUGUCUAACCGCGGUCCAUUAUCUGGAUCCGGGACCCUGUGUGGCGGGUAGUUUGACUGGGGCGGUCGCCUCCUAAAUCGUAACGGAGGCGCGCGAAGGUUGGCUCAGAGCGGU
RNAcentral lists this ribosomal RNA (354 nucleotides) under Pteridomonas danica. RNAcentral's name for it is "partial Bacterial large subunit ribosomal RNA". It matches the Rfam family "Bacterial large subunit ribosomal RNA", at positions 1978 to 2331 of the family's 2925-position model. The record is from RNAcentral. Lineage: Eukaryota; Dictyochophyceae; Pedinellales.